Molecule: non-coding RNA, 107 nt
Filed under: bovine gut metagenome
Description: FMN riboswitch (RFN element)
Rfam family: FMN riboswitch aptamer (RFN element)
About the family: The RFN element is a highly conserved domain that is found frequently in the 5'-untranslated regions of prokaryotic mRNAs that encode for flavin mononucleotide (FMN) biosynthesis and transport proteins. This element is a metabolite-dependent riboswitch that directly binds FMN in the absence of proteins.
Source: RNAcentral
GUCUUCGGGGCAGGGUGAAAAUCCCUACCGGCAGUACAGUCUGCGAAGCCUUCGGGCCCGAACCGGUGCAAUUCCGGUACCGACAGUAAAGUCUGGAUGGGAGAAGU